RNAcentral lists this ribosomal RNA (274 nucleotides) under uncultured bacterium. RNAcentral describes it as "partial 16S ribosomal RNA". It matches the Rfam family "Bacterial small subunit ribosomal RNA", at positions 523 to 796 of the family's 1533-position model. The record is from RNAcentral.
AUACGGAGGGUGCAAGCGUUACUCGGAAUCACUGGGUGUAAAGCGCGCGCAGGCGGCUAUUUAAGUUGGAUGUGAAAGCCUACGGCUCAACCGUAGAACUGCAUCCAAAACUAUUUAGCUAGAGUGUGGGAGAGGAAGAUGGAAUUAGUUGUGUAGGGGUAAAAUCCGUAGAGAUAACUAGGAAUACCAAAAGCGAAGGCAAUCUUCUGGAACACUACUGACGCUGAGGCGCGAAAGCGUGGGGAGCAAACAGGAUUAGAAACCCUAGUAGUCC